Rhododendron vialii is the source of this 1088-nucleotide long non-coding RNA. RefSeq lists it as uncharacterized. The record is from RefSeq and is a predicted model, not a curated record. The transcript has 2 exons. NCBI's taxonomy places the organism in Eukaryota, Viridiplantae, Streptophyta, Magnoliopsida, Ericales, Ericaceae.
UGAGCCCCUACGAACUUGCAAAAGCAAACAUUUCAUUACAAAAGUUAUGUUCCCAACGGCCGUAGCUCGACCAAGGUUUGACGCCACCCGAAAUCAAGAGUUUUCCAAUAAGAUUGGAAUUUUUCCCUUCACAUACAAAGAACCAGCCAAACGGACUAGUAAAAACCCGUGUGGCGGGUACUUUGGAAACAAAGGUCGUUGUUUUGGUUACUAAAGAGAUUAUUCGCAAGUGUUUGAUCGAAAAAGUCUUACCCGCUAUUCGAGCUAAAUGGCCACGGGGCAAUGGAAUCGAAACAAUUUUGAUUCAAUAGGAUAAUGCGAGGCCUCACAUUCAUGAAUUUGAUGCGGAGUUUCUCAAAGAGGCUUCUAAAGAUGGAUUUGAUAUUCGUUUAUCAUUCCAACCUCCCAACAGUCCGGAUUUAAAUGUUCUUGAUCUUGGUUUUUUUAGAGCAAUUCAAAGUUUGCAAUAUCAAAAAGCACCAAAAAAUAUUGAUGAGCUUGUUUAUGCUGUUGUAAGUGCUUUUGAAGAAUUAUCACCUCAAACGCUAGAUAAUGUCUUCUUGACAUUACAAGCUUGUAUGAUUGAGAUCAUGAAGGUUAAUGGGGGAGUGGGUUACAAGGUGCCACAUAUUGGAAAGGGUGGAUUGAUGAGAGAUGAUAACCUGCCUACUCAACUUCAAUGUGACCAAUAUUUGGUAGAAAGUUUUAUGGCUCAUCUACAAAAUGGAGGCAAUUGAAGUUGGAUGACAUCUUUGUCAAGAACUUUGUUUUUGUGUUUUUGGAUGAAACUUCAAGCAACUGGGGCUGUGAUUUUGUAUGGAGCUUGAAGCAAUUGUAAAGGGCUGUGAUUUUGUAUGAAGAUUGAAGCACUUGUAAAAAGGUCUGCUACCUAUAACAAAAAUUUGUAAAGGGUCUGCUAUGGUAGCAAACACAAAUCCUAUAUUUCUCCCUUUUUUGUUCUUUUCAUGUUUAGGUAUAAUUAACCUUUUGUAAGCUUGUUACCAAUCCUUUUGGUUGAUACUGGUGGCUAUGAUCCACAUAACUGUAUGUUUUGGACAAUGAAAUGAAGUUGUUUUUGUAUCGAAAAA